AAGAUUGGGAUGAAACAGAACAACGUACUCCAACACUUGAUCUGAGACAUUCAUUGUCGAGUCAUUGUAAAUUAUUAGCUUCUGAAUCCUC
Juglans microcarpa x Juglans regia is the source of this 91-nucleotide small nucleolar RNA. RefSeq annotates it as small nucleolar RNA snoR31. The transcript has a single exon. NCBI's taxonomy places the organism in Eukaryota, Viridiplantae, Streptophyta, Magnoliopsida, Fagales, Juglandaceae. The record is from RefSeq and is a predicted model, not a curated record.